Beta vulgaris subsp. vulgaris (sugar beet) is the source of this 305-nucleotide long non-coding RNA. RefSeq lists it as uncharacterized. The transcript has 2 exons. The record is from RefSeq and is a predicted model, not a curated record. Lineage: Eukaryota; Viridiplantae; Streptophyta; Magnoliopsida; Caryophyllales; Amaranthaceae.
GGCACGGAGUGCGGUUAUUUUGUGAUGCGGUACAUUUUUGACGUACUCGCUUCAUAUUUUGGUUCGUUGGAUAUGGACAAAGUUGCUCAAACCUUUACCAAAGAUCCUUAUACGGAGGAUCAAAUCAAUGAGGUGAAGAAUAAGUGGGCAAGAUACUUUGUUGAUGAGUGCAUUGCAUAGGUUAGUUAGUUUAUGUUAAUAUUCUUUUUUUUGUUCUAACUUUAGACGAACAUAUACAUUAUUGCAACUUGUACAACCAACUUUGUAGUGAUGGAUUAUCAUGAUAUAUAAAUAUUUUUGUUGGA